CUGGGCCACGGUGGGCGCCACAACGGAGUGGGCUCCUCUGCCACAAUUCCUGGCCUCUUCGGACUAGCACCCCUCAGAGAUGAGACGCUGAGGAAUGUGGAAAGGACUUUUGAGUUCUUUCUGUGAGCUCUGGGACUUAGCAAACCUAUAUGGUCCUGGCUCCAGUUUUCCACAAGCAGACUGUCCUUAGGAGCCACCACGUCCCCAGAGGCACGGAGGCCCACGACUGUCACUUCCUCUCCAAGCCUGUCUGCAGAGGACCCAACACAGCUCUCCAAAGCCAAAGCAGACUUCUUAUCCACAGUGAAAUCAACUGGACCAGAAAACAGCUCUGCACAUCCGGCUGUUGGAGCCUGUUUGGGCUGGACACAGCUCUGGUCUUCCUCAUGAACAGGUCUCCCCAAGCUCUUCCUCUCCCCGGCCUGGCUGGGGCUCUAGUGACAGUUGCAAGAAGGAUGUUUUGGUCAAAGGGCACUAAGCAUCGUAUAUUAUUCCAGGAUUCCCCCGGGCAUUUACUGUGCCUGUCUUCCAUUGCUACCAGAGGUGAGAGGAAGAGACUAACAGCACCUGAUCUGGGGAAAGCAGGGAGGAAGUCUGGAUAAAUCACAGUGCUCUAAAGCCUGGUUGAAGAGGCCCAGAGCAACAGGAGGGUAAAAACUAAGUACCUUCCUUGAGAAGGUGCCGGUUGAGAGACAGGAGCUUCCAAGGAGCAUUCACAGUCCUUAAUGGGUUCUCUGUGCCAG
RNAcentral lists this long non-coding RNA (743 nucleotides) under Rattus norvegicus (Norway rat). RNAcentral's name for it is "long non-coding RNA NONRATT032092". The record is from RNAcentral. Lineage: Eukaryota; Metazoa; Chordata; Mammalia; Rodentia; Muridae.